GAUGAAAACGCAGCGAAAUGCGAUACGUAAUGUGAAUUGCAGAAUUCAGUGAAUCAUCGAGUCUUUGAACGCACAUUGCGCCCCCUGGUAUUCCGGGGGGCAUGCCUGUCCGAGCGUCAUUGCUGCCCUCAAGCACGGCUUGUGUGUUGGGCCUCCGCCCCCCGGCUCCCGGGGGGCGGGCCCGAAAGGCAGCGGCGGCACCGCGUCCGGUCCUCGAGCGUAUGGGGCUUCGUCACCCGCUCCGUAGGCCCGGCCGGCGCCCGCCGGCGACCCCCCUCAAUCUUUCCAGGUUGACCUCGGAUCAGGUAGGGAUACCCGCUGAACUUAAGCAUAUCAAUAAGCGGAGGA
This 348-nucleotide unclassified non-coding RNA is filed under the name soil metagenome. Its description in RNAcentral is "partial contains 5.8S ribosomal RNA, internal transcribed spacer 2, and large subunit ribosomal RNA". The stretch from base 1 to 119 matches the Rfam family "5.8S ribosomal RNA", at positions 35 to 154 of the family's 154-position model. The record is from RNAcentral.